UACAGAGGGUGCGAGCGUUGUUCGGAAUUAUUGGGCGUAAAGGGCGCGUAGGCGGUGCGGUAAGUCACCUGUGAAAUCUCCUGGCUCAACUGGGAGCUUGCAGGCGAAACUGCCGUGCUGGAGUGUGGGAGAGGUGCGUGGAAUUCCUGGUGUAGCGGUGAAAUGCGUAGAUAUCAGGAGGAACACCUGUGGCGAAGGCGGCUCACUGGCCCGGAACUGACGCUGAGACGCGAAAGCGUGGGGAGCAAACAGG
Molecule: ribosomal RNA, 253 nt
Filed under: uncultured bacterium
Lineage: Bacteria
Description: partial 16S ribosomal RNA
Rfam family: Bacterial small subunit ribosomal RNA
Source: RNAcentral